This 419-nucleotide non-coding RNA is filed under the name Triticum aestivum (bread wheat). RNAcentral describes it as "Bacterial large subunit ribosomal RNA". It matches the Rfam family "Bacterial large subunit ribosomal RNA", at positions 117 to 560 of the family's 2925-position model. Lineage: Eukaryota; Viridiplantae; Streptophyta; Magnoliopsida; Poales; Poaceae. The record is from Rfam by way of RNAcentral. RNAcentral also lists the same sequence under 1 other name.
CUUGGGGCAUCCCAUUUGCAGCGGUGGAGCAUGAACCAAAUUCAGGGUGGUAGAGGAGCAAAUGGUAGCAUAGCCUAGAAACAACUAGGAAGAUCAGAGAGGCCGAAAGAUUAGUAGGGAGUUUAGCACGACGAGAAGGAUCUUAUCCUUUCAAACAAUGUGUGUGUGUGUGCGCGCGCGUGUGUGUGAACAUGAGCUAGAAACAAGUAGGGAUAUCAAAGAGGCUAGAAGUGAGUAGCCGAAAGCAUCACUAGCUUACGCUUUGACCCGAGUAGCAUGGAGCACGUGGAAUCCUGUGUGGAUCAGCAAGGACCACCUUCCAAGGCAAAAUACUCCUGGGUGACCGAUAGCGAAGUAGUACCAUGAGGGAAAGGUGAAAAGAAUCCCCAAUGGGUAGUGAAAUAGAACGUAAAACCAUG